CUGGGUUUGACAUGCACAGGACGMCGGNAGAGAURUCGGUUCCCUUGUGGCCUGUGUGCAGGUGGUGCAUGGCUGUCGUCAGCUCGUGUCGUGAGAUGUUGGGUUAAGUCCCGCAACGAGCGCAACCCUUGUCUCAUGUUGCCAGCGCGUUAUGGCGGGGACUCGUGAGAGACUGCCGGGGUCAACUCGGAGGAAGGUGGGGAUGACGUCAAGUCAUCAUGCCCCUUAUGUCCAGGGCUUCACACAUGCUACAAUGGCCGGUACAAAGGGCUGCGAUGCCGCGAGGCUUAGCGAAUCCUUUAAAGCCGGUCUCAGUUCGGAUCGGGGUCUGCAACUCGACCCCGUGAAGUCGGAGUCGCUAGUAAUCGCAGAUCAGCAACGCUGCGGUGAAUA
RNAcentral lists this ribosomal RNA (393 nucleotides) under uncultured Mycobacterium sp. RNAcentral's name for it is "bacterial SSU rRNA". It matches the Rfam family "Bacterial small subunit ribosomal RNA", at positions 975 to 1368 of the family's 1533-position model. The record is from RNAcentral. Lineage: Bacteria; Bacillati; Actinomycetota; Actinomycetes; Mycobacteriales; Mycobacteriaceae.